GGUUCCAUAGGGUAGGGGUUAGCACGUCUGCUUUACACACAGAUGGUCCUGGGUUCAUGCCCCAGUGGAGCCA
Molecule: transfer RNA, 73 nt
Filed under: Pteropus alecto (black flying fox)
Lineage: Eukaryota; Metazoa; Chordata; Mammalia; Chiroptera; Pteropodidae
Rfam family: tRNA
About the family: Transfer RNA (tRNA) molecules are approximately 80 nucleotides in length. Their secondary structure includes four short double-helical elements and three loops (D, anti-codon, and T loops).
Source: Rfam by way of RNAcentral